Long non-coding RNA from Conger conger (European conger), 3982 nucleotides. RefSeq lists it as uncharacterized. NCBI's taxonomy places the organism in Eukaryota, Metazoa, Chordata, Actinopteri, Anguilliformes, Congridae. The record is from RefSeq and is a predicted model, not a curated record. The transcript is spliced from 2 exons.
GUGUGUGUACUGUACAGUGCUCUGUGUGUAUGUGUGUGUACUGUACAGUGCUGUGUGUGUGUACUGUACAGUGCUCUGUGUGUGUGUAUGUGUGUGUACUGUACAGUGCUGUGUGUGUGUGUGUGUGUGUGUGUGUGUGUGUGUACUGUACAGUGCUGUGUGUGUGUGCGCGUGUACUGUACAGUGCUGUGUGUCUGCGCGUGCAUGUGUGUACAUGUAUGUGUGCGUGUGUGUGUACUGUACAGUGCUGUGUGUGUGUACAUGUGUAUGUGUGUGUGUGUGUGCGUGUACUGUACAGUGCUGUGUGUGUGUGUGUGUGUGUGUGUGUACUGUACAGUGCUGUGUGUGUACAUGUGUGUGUGUGUGCGUGUACUGUACAGUGCUGUGUGUGUGUGUGUGUGUGUGUGCGCGUGCGUGCGUGUGUGUGUGGUCCGCUGCAUUACCAAGUGAUAUGAACGUUACCUGGGUUACCUGUGCGACUGGCUGUGUGUGGAACGUCUCCCCGCGUGCCACAGGAAACACACCCGCUCUGAAACACAUCUUUUUGUUCACCCGUUUGCUCUGUGGAAGUGAGAUUUUGGGCGUUAUUCCCAUUAUUCCUGUUAUUCCCAUUAUUCCUGUUAUUCCCGGAGCCCUGGAAUACCCCAGCGCCCCGCGAGCCAGCGGCUUUUGUUUUUGAAAUCGGAAAAUGGGAAUUUAGUGCUGAACUAACGCUUAGCGCUACAUUAACUCACCAAUCAGGGCUUUUCAUUGCCAAACUCACUCUGCCUCAUGCUCACUACCUUUGUGUUCCGCCAUUUCAUGCUCGUCUGAGUCUGUAAACACAAAAGCAUUCUGAUGAGCCACCCACCGUCCAUGUAGUCAGAGAUCAUGUGUUCUGAUGCAAUAUUAUACAAAUACCUGGAAUCUACCUGUCAAUUAAUGGAGGUUUUUAAGAUGGCUGCAAGGUUGUAGACGUGGUUUCCUAUUUAUAUCUGUUUAUAUCAUUGUUCUUUUAUAUUUUCCUGGAUUUUGAUAAUGUAUUUUUGUGUUUUAAUGUACAUCAGUUUGAGUUCACUAACUAGUGUUACCUGCUUGCUUGUCUGGAGUAAAUGUUAUUUUACUAUAAGACACCAGAUGUACCCCUCCCUUUACUGCCUGUCUUUAUCACAGACCUCUUUACACAGUAAUGCUUUUUAUUUUAUUAUAAAAUCAAGCAAAGUGUCAUUGUAAAAAUAAUGAAAUAAGAUGUAAAGACAUCUAAUGCUUAGAUAACACUUUGGAAUUAGCGGGAAAAUAGUAGUACCUUAAGGCCUUCUUCCAGUGCGUUUAGAGAUUGGCGAGUCACCCUGUCCAUCAUUAAAGCCACACCUCUUAUGUAUACAAGCCACAUGGCCAGAUGACACAGGCCAGGUUGUGAUUGGCUAGUUCUGUUGGUGGUGGAGCCAGACUGGGACUUUACCCUGGAAACGGGUGUAAUCCUCAUCUUUACCAAGAGCACAGUGUUCACGCCGCGCUGUAACUGGAACAUAACCGGCCCUGUCCGUAAUGCAGUGAAUAAUUACCCGACAUUGUUCCGGAAGGUGUGUAAACCUUUGGUGUCUUUGGCAGCGCGUUAUUGCAGAUGGCCGACAGGAGACUUUGUACAGCACAGUAUGCCCUGUGUGUCCUGCCCCACACCAGCGGCUGUUUGAGUUAUUACUGCCGUUCUUGAAGUGUUUAAUAGCGGAGAGCAUGUUACUCUCAUUAUUGUGUGUUUGCCUCAGGGACCCAUUUCUGAGACGGCUGCUGAUUUGUCACCCAGAGACAGGAGAGUGCUGCUCUGAUUGGUCACUCAGAGACAGGAGAGUGCUGCUCUGAUUGGUCACCCAGAGACAGGAGAGUGCUGCUCUGAUUGGUCACCCGGAGACAGGAGAGUGCUGCUCUGAUUGGUCACCUGGAGACAGGAGGGUGCUGCUCUGAUUGGUCACCCAGAGACAGGAGAGUGCUGCUCUGAUUGGUCACCUGGAGACAGGAGGGUGCUGCUCUGAUUGGUCACCCAGAGACAGGAGAGUGCUGCUCUGAUUGGUCACCUGGAGACAGGAGAGUGCUGCUCUGAUUGGUCACCCAGAGACAGGAGAGUGCUGCUCUGAUUGGUCACCCAGAGACAGGAGAGUGCUGCUCUUCCACACUUGUCCACAUGGCAUGUUUCACUGUGGUUACUCUGCAUGGAUCUCAGGUCCAGGUCAGUGAGACACUGUGGAUCCUCCCAGUGGAUCUCAGGUCCAGGUGUCACACAGUGGAUCCUCCCAGUGGAUCUCAGGUCCAGGUGUCACACAGUGGAUCCUCUCAGUGGAUCUCAGGUCCAGGUGUGAUACAGUGGAUCCUCUCAGUGGAUCUCAGGUCCAGGUGUGAUACAGUGGAUCCUCUCAGUGGAUCUCAGGUCCAGGUGUGACACAGUAAGGGACAUGUUCACAGCCUGGUGUAGAAAGAGCAGAGGGAGAGGUCCUUAUGCGUGUGAAAUCAGUAGCUUUGCACGAAUAACCUGGAAUGACAAGUGAUUUGACCACCAAGAGUUUAAAAUGAACUUUCUUCACUGGUGGAGUCUGGAACAUCAGUCUAAAGCGAAGAGAAGGUUGUGUUGGGUGGGUGGGGGAGUUUUAGUCCCAGUCCCUCAUUCAGAUCAUUCACCAGCGCCUUCACCACGGGGCCGUGUGACUGAAUCAGUGUCAGACAUUUUCCUUUUGUUUGUUUAUUUUGCUGCUUCCAACAUCAUCUGUGAAACGUCUCCAUGCGCUUGGUUAGGUAGAGACCUGCUGAUGUAGUAAUGCAUAUACAGUAUAUAUGUAUUUGUGUAUAUGAAUAUAAGUACUGCCCCAUUCUUACCAACCUGUAAACCCUGUGCCAUUGAGGUAUUUUAUUUUUUAUGUUUAUUUUUGUUUUUGUUUUUGAUGGGGGGAGUAGGUAAAGUAUUGUCCUUCAUGUUUAAACUGGAAUCUCAGACAUGCAGUGUCUGUAAUGUGCAUGUUGUGUGGAUAACGAUAACUUCUGUGCCAUAAGGUUAUUCCACUGCCAAUGAAGCUGAUGUAUUAUGCGUGUGUAAGAUUAGCAGGUAUGAGUCCAUGAUGUUCAACACAAACACGUAGAGCUGGGGGGUCAGACUCCAAUCCUGGGAGGACUGGAGUUGAACCUGCAGACACAGUGCCCCCACUAGGACUGGAGCUAAACCUGCAGACACUGCGGCCCUCCAGGACUGGAGUUAAACCUGCAGACACUGAGGCCCUCCAGGACUGGAGUUAAACCUGCAGACACUGCGGCCCUCCAGGACUGGAGCUAAACCUGCAGACACUGCGGCCCUCCAGGACUGGAGUUAAACCUGCAGACACUGCGGCCCUCCAGGACUGGAGUUAAACCUGCAGACACUGCGCCCCCUCCAGGACUGGAGUUAAACCUGCAGACACUGUGGCCCUCCAGGACUGGAGUUUGACCCUCCUGAUGUAGAGUGUUUGCCCUUCAUGAGCUCAGUCCGUUAGACCAGGCUCUCUGUAACAGCUGAAAUAGAAAGCAGUCCUGUACCAGGCAGUUCCUGAAGGGGGCAGUGCGCUCUGUCUGCUCUGGCUCCAGGUAAAGCAGGGUAAUUAUGGACACUGAGCCUGAUGGCGCCCCCUGCUGCUGAUAAUUAUGACAUGCAUAAUUGUGCAGUGCUCUGUUCCUCUGUUCCCCUCCAUCUCUGUAUCUCUCUCUCUCUCUCUCUCUCUCUCUCUCUCUCUCUCUCCAUAUAUCUCCCUCUCUCUGUGUCUGUUUGUCCUCUCUCUUUCUGUCUGUCCUCUCUCUCCCUCCCUCUCUCUCAUCCUUUCUCUCCCUCCCUCCCUCUCUCUCCCUCUCUCUGUCCAUAGGUGCCUGUGAAACUAUGUUGGGCCAGUCGCUCUGGCCUUCUGUGUAACUUUUCAGUUUGAAAAUCUAUAUUUUUUUGCAUAAGCAUUUGCAUAAUGUACUUCAAUAAAUGAUAUGUUUUGUUUGGUUA